This 275-nucleotide ribosomal RNA is filed under the name Linckia multifora. RNAcentral's name for it is "partial 28S ribosomal RNA". It matches the Rfam family "Eukaryotic large subunit ribosomal RNA", at positions 86 to 343 of the family's 3401-position model. Lineage: Eukaryota; Metazoa; Echinodermata; Asteroidea; Valvatida; Ophidiasteridae. The record is from RNAcentral.
GCGGCGAGCGAAGCGGGAAGAGCCCAGCGCCGAAUCCCCGGGCCCCGACGGGCUCCGCGGGAACUGUGGCGUCAGGAAGUCCGGCCCCGCGGUCGCGGCGGCGCCGAGGUCCUUCUGAUCGAGGCCUCCUCCGUCCCAGGGCGGGUGUCAGGCCCCUGCGGGCGCCGGCCGGCCGCGGACCAGGGCUUCCGGGAGUCGGGUUGUUUUGUAGCGCAGCCCAAAGACGGGUGGUAAACUCCAUCCAAGGCUAAAUACCUGCACGAGACCGAUAGCGC